ACUUCGGGGCGCCUCGACGGGUGUUUGACGAGGAGAAGGGGUUGGGGGCUAAGAAGAGGUUAGAGGCGGUAGCGGCAGCUAGGGGUGGGGGUAGCCGUUGGAGCAGAGGGGCGGGGGGGGUAGGGGUUGGGGUGGCGGCUGGCUGGAGGGAGGAGUAGAGCAGGUAGGUGGGUACCUUUGGGGGAGAAGGUGCCUAGGUGGGUGGGUACGGGUGGUCAAGACCGCUACCUACCCCGCGUGGUCAAGACCGCUACCUACCCCGCGUGGUCAAGACCGCUACCGUCGCGGCCUGGGCGUGGGUGGACACGCUACCUCCAGCCGGCGUAGCCCUAGGUGGACGCACUACCUCGGGCCGGCCUAGCCACACCGCGACGUGUGGUGUGGUGUGGCCUCGAACGACGACACGACCAGCAACUGUUGCUGCGUUGAGGCCACCCUGGAUCUGCGGGUUCCAUGCAUGCGGCAAGAACGGUUGAGAAGGUAGAGGAGAGUACGCACCGAACGCACGACGUCUAGGCUGUGGGGUAGGAAGGAAGGAACACAAGUACCUUGCUGUUACCGUUCCCCUGCUGGCUACACGCACCACCUGGUCCUCCACCUCUUGGCAGAGCGGGAGGAACAAGUGUAGUGGAGGGAAACUAAAGGGAACCUGUGAACCUCUCUCUCUUCCUUCUACCGCCUGCUCCCCUACCGGUUGACGUAGCUGUAGUAGGAGCGGUAGUAGGACGGCGGCGAGCCGCAGAAGGAGUUCAAGUGGACGGCCUAGCUCAAGACUUAGACGAACGACGAGUGGAAAAAGCCGAUGGAGGGACCGUAGUAGAUGCGGCAGACCCAGUAGUGAUUCAUCCACAGUCUCCCCGAGGAGUGGAGACCGACGGAGAUCCACUGGGUUCCAACGACUUCUCCUCGUCGUCGGCGUGUUCUCAUAGACUUCUACUGAGGAGGCAAAGAUUGGGUAGGGGAAGGAAGGUGACAAAACCUACUACUUGAACUAGGACGAAUUAAUUAAUUAAAGAGUAGCACGAAUUAAUCGACAUUUACACGGGGGAAUAACUUCUUCUUCUUCUUCUUCUAUUAUGUUUACAUUAAAUUAACCUACCAGGGAAAGUAGCACGAAUUAAUCGACAUUUACACGGAGGGAAUGACUUCUUCUAUUCUUAGGUAUACACAAUACGUUUUAAUUGAAACAGUAGAACAUUCGUGAGAUCCGUCACAGAUCUCCCACUUUUAUACUCUUGUUUUUUCUUAAUGACCUAAUUAAAUUUUGUAGGUAGGAAAUGAGGCAGGUACAGUAACAAUAAAUGGGGACCCUCAUAAAAAUUGAACUUUUAGAGACCACUUGACGGUAAAGCUCAUGUAAAAGAACGAGACAAUUAAAAAACCCAAUGAGGUAGAACGAGACAAUUCAUUUUAAACUAUACACCUCAUCGUCGUCAUUCGAUCUGGGAGGUAGAACGAGACAUGUAUCAGUUUCGAUGAGGUUCAAUCGUCGUUAUGACAAUUGAAGAGUUAAACGAACCUAAUGUAAAUUGAAGAUCAUGGGGUCAUGAGAUCAUUAAAACGAAUCUCAUAAAUUGUACUAACUUGACAUGUACACACCUCAUUAAAACGACCCUCAUAAAUUGUUCUAACUUGUUCUAAAUUGAACAGUUGUAAAUUGUCAUAAAAGUCAUUCAUAAGACUUGUACGAAGACUUAUAAAGGUCUAAAACUUGUACGUUCGUUUAGACGUCCUCAUUUGUUCAAGAACGCCAUCUAUAACGUUCACAAAAUAGAUUUGUAGAUGAGAGUGGCUUCUAUAAAGUUCACCAGACUGGUCUAAAAGAGUCAAACGUUCAAAUGAAUGAAAAGGUCAAUUAAUUGACCUGUAGAACCUCAUCAAUCUUUUAGUACUUAAUAAACGUAUUUUGGUAUCUUCAUAACAUGAGGUCCCACGUAAUGAAUGUAUUUGAACAAACGUUCGAAUAAAAGACUGAGUGUAUAAGACUUUGAUUUUUUCGAAUCAAUUGAACACAUCAUGAAACCCAUUUUUACCUUACCAAGGUAGGACGUGUUGUAUGAAACUCACUUACAACUCAUGACAUACGUGAACACAUUAUAUACAACGAACUACUUACGGACCCACACAGUGAACACAUUAUAUACAACCAACUACUUACGGACCCACACAGUGACGAACAAGGUACGAUGUAAAUCCUUAACAAGUAAAAACACAAUACUGUUGAAGUGACGUAGGACGGCUUUGGAAAAAUUUUAGAACGUCUAAGAUCACGAUGGUGUGUUGAUCUAGUCAUAAACUAAUGAUAAUGUUCACCUCCAGAUUUAGUCGUCUCUUGUCCCCACUCUACAUGUACAGGGUUGGAGGAAGGGAGGGUACAUACUUAUGCGAGAGUUCAUCAGUAAGAACACUUACCCGUAUACUAUUCUUGAUUCUUAAGUGGAAGUGAUUAACAGAUACUAUAAAGUAGUCCUAGAUAUUCAUGAACUCCAUGUAUAACCGGCGUGGUGGUUAUACACAUCAAGAACCCGGGAGAACCAUCACCCAAGAGUCAUCCUGAUAUCUCAACUAUCAUACGAAGAUACGUAGGGUUAAAUACUCAAUACGUCUUAUUCUUAAUGUUAAACGACGUUAAGUCUACAAAACUUAAGAAGUUAGAACUUAACAAGUUACUACUGUCGAUAGAACGUGGCAUGAUAUUUUAGUACCUAGCCGUUGAUCCACUAACAGUUAGGCAAGAACGAUCUACACAACAACAAAAAGAAGAAGAUUCUAUUCUACCAUCGUAGUGUACAGUAGGAUAGUACAACAUGAUCAAGGACUUCACAUUCUAUUCUACCACCGUAGUCUACACACAAGACUGAACACUGACGAAUGAUGUACCUAUGUACGUCGAUCGAUCGUUGGAUCGUCAUGAUCAUUCUUAUAUACACUGAUUAAGGGAGGGAUAUGGAACACUAACUAAGGUCCAUAUAUGUCUACGGUAGAAACAGACCGUUGUAUACGUGGACUAAUGUAAGUCCACGUAUAUCAUAUGAACUUGUCACAUUUGUAUACGUAGACGUUUUAAUAGAGUAAGUAUCACACCACGGAUACAUAUAGUCAAUAGUUAACCGAACUAAAUCCGACAACUAUCAGUCACAGAGUCACUGUCUUUAUUGAGUUUUCGAUAUGGAAAUCGACACGACCGUUAGCUUACAUAUAUUAGCAUUGGCACUUUGAUCAAUAAUGGCAUCGGUCGUCUAGAGAAAUCAUUCGUCAUUGACCAUCAAGAGUAUUAGGUAGGGUAUCUAAUGAAGGGGUUGCACACAAGGUUCCCGAAAUGGACAAUCUUAACUACGAACAAAGAUGAUUCACAACGUGAACAAAGAUGAUUCAAAAUUGAUACUUAGACAACAAAGUGUAUAUGAUAUAUGUUGACUACGGAACUUCUUCAGUCGAGGGGAACCUACCACGUCACAUCGUUUAGUUACAGCUAAGUAAGUAAGAAACUACAACCGAAAGUAAGAAGGUUUCAACCCACAUGUCCUCGAGAUCCUUCUUCUUACGGCUUCUAUUUGGUGUGGGUCGUUACGCAAAAUCGAGUGAUCUCUAUCAAUACGAACCUCGAUCAAUACACAUAUAAAUCAACAUAAAAUAUCGACUUAUGGUCUUAACAUGAUACGAACCGACAACAUACUUUAUAAUACGGAAUAACCGAGAAAAACUUAGUUUAAUAGAUUAACGUGUCUAU
This 3730-nucleotide ribosomal RNA is filed under the name Triticum aestivum (bread wheat). RNAcentral describes it as "partial small subunit ribosomal RNA". The record is from RNAcentral. Lineage: Eukaryota; Viridiplantae; Streptophyta; Magnoliopsida; Poales; Poaceae.